Long non-coding RNA from Haemorhous mexicanus (house finch), 7113 nucleotides. RefSeq lists it as uncharacterized. The record is from RefSeq and is a predicted model, not a curated record. The transcript has 2 exons. NCBI's taxonomy places the organism in Eukaryota, Metazoa, Chordata, Aves, Passeriformes, Fringillidae.
UUUUGAAUCCUGAGUUUGCUCCUGCAUGAGAUAGAGACCAUGAAGGAUGUUGCUCCUAUGGUAGGCCGUAGGUCCCUGCAGCCUCUAGUCCCAAAAAGGGAAAACAGAAACAAAUUUUCCGGUACCAACUACUCAAUUACACCCUUGCUGUCAGGCGAGGUGUUCCAUGAAGUGGGUUGGUGUGUUUUGGACAUGUCACUGAGUGAUGCAUUUAAUCAAGAACACCUUGCAGUUGUGAGCCUUGUUUUUUUUUUCUUUUUUCCUUUCCCCCCCCUUUUUCAUUCUUCUCUUCUUUUUUUUCUUUUUCUGUUCCUCUUUCCUCUGUUCUCUCACCCCUCUUUUGCUUUUUCCUCUCUCUCUCUCCUGAAUAACUGAAUCUAUUGAGAAGUAAAUCCCCUCCUUCAAUUACUUUAAUAUGCUUUCAUACCGUGUUUGCUCCACUUUAUUUCUCAGCUUUGUUAUUUCCACUCCCCAGUAAAAUCUAUCACCUUUGAGUGAGUUAUUUGCUUUUCUGGACUGCAGCAAAUACCACCCACUCUGUUAAGGUCAGGCUCCAACUCCUUGACUUCUCUAUUGUUCCGUCCCUUCCUUACCCACUCUGUCAUUGCAGUACGACAGCUCCAGCUGGGAGGGCAGGGAAAUCACUCCCUCAAGAGCAGUUUAUCACAGCAAUAAAUGUUAUGUGUUUUACUAGGAUGCCAUCAAAGUUCACCCUCACACCACCAGGCUGAAGUAGAAACAAUUGUUUCUUUUAUUCAUCUAUUAUGUAUACUUUAUUGGGUAGGUGUCUAUAUCCUGCAGAGAUCAGUAUCCUGAAGGGACAAGGCACUACUUCGAGUUUCUGCAGUGUUGUGAAAAUUACAGAAUUUGCAGCGAGAAGCAUCAUAAUGUUUUAAAUUAAUUACUGCUUCUCAGUUUUCUUCCUGCUCUCCCUACUGCCUGGGUUUUAAUUACUUUGCUCACAUAGGCGUCUCCAAAGUCACUUCAUUAAACAGUACUUGUAGCCUUUACAUUUCUUUCAGGUUAUUUGCUUCUUUUUAUAGUACUGCCUGUGCCAGCUCUGUUAACUUCAAAGCAUAAUAAGCCUGAAAUCUUUGUGAUUGCAACUGGCACUCAGCAGAAUCUGGCCAGUCAUCUGAAUUGAUCUGUCAUUCAUGAAACUAAAUACUUUAAUUUUAAAUUUUUUUUUAGAUACAAGAGAGAAAAGUGAAACCUUUGUGUUUACAUUCCCUCCCCCAUCUUCCUACUAAGAAUUGAUAUUUCCUCAGUCAAGAGAGAUUAAUAAAAGCUGAGAAUACACUUUACUACAUUAAUUUCAUACGGCACAAUUCCUUGUAGCAAUAUGAAAACAAGUUGUUGAAUGUGCGACAGGGUAAUUCACUGAGCACUAAAGGAAAUUGCUAAAAACAAAAAGAAAUUUGUUAUACUCUAAGCUCUCAGUGACAUAUGAGAGCUCCAGUAUUCUGUUGGGAAAAAUGGUCAGCAGCCUUGCACUGACAUAUGUUAGGUAUCUCUAUUCUCUGAAAUGCAGGUUUGAAUUGACUGAAACUAUCUGAGGCUUUAGGUUAAAUUCCUAGCAAUGUUUUCAGUCAAGAAAUGAAGGAAACAUUUGAAGAGCCAGACUAUUUAAUUUCAACAUUUUUCUGCAGAAACUCCUUUCAUUUUUAAGUUUUUUUGUUUUAUAACUUUUUUCCUACAGAACACUGUGUGUCUAAAUCUGGCUCAAUCUAGUGAAGGGAAGAGAAAGCAACACCCAAGCCCAGGGUCUGGAGCAUCUCCUCCUCUUUGUCUCCCUCUUCUCAGGCAGAAAAGGAUGGCAGCUCCUCUCACUCUCACUGUUUGCCCUCUCCUGACAGUGGCUCUGCAGUUACCUACAAUGAUCAGUGCAGAGACAACACUAUGGCUGCCAGUGCUCAUGGAGACCUAUUUCACCACGAAACAGAGGCUCAAAGUCAAGCUAAAACAGAGCCAGCACCUCUUAAAACCACUGGGGACCUUUGUAAAGGCAGAUCAGGGAUUCAGUGAUAGCGCUCCAUCCUCCUGUCCCCGGUGUCAGGCUAGGUACCCUUGAGAAAACUGAGUACUCUGCUUAUAUACUGCUGGAAUCUUAAUUUGGGGACCACUGCAUGGUUUAUUUCAUGUUAUUUUAUACAGGAAUUCCAGCUGCAGACAAAUUGGAGAAAACUUUGCUUUGACUAAUGAACCUUAUCAUGUAUAUUGCGUCUGCAUGAAAGAAGAAAGGAAGAUGUAUCCCUGGGGGAUGGGACUCAGCUCCAAAGAGGAUGCCCCCUCUGGAAACUUCUGUCGACUAGAUCCAGGGUGAAGGGGAAACCACGCGAAGAUGACAGCAAUCAUUUUAAGAUCCACUUGUAGAGUACACAACGACUGGUCUGUCCCCAUAACCAUGGAAGAGGCAAAUCCUCUGACUGGUCCUGCUGAGGCUGGAAAAGAGUAAAACAAUGGGAGAGCCUUAGUCAUGAAAACCAUUUCUAUUAAUGUGCAGCAUCGUCUCCACAGAAGCCCUGAGGGACACGUUGAUGUGUUGGCAUGUUCCCAGCUGGUGGGUGUGAUUCACCUGACUCACCCCCUGAAGUGUAUCCACAUAACAUCCACAUAUUAUGGACAUAAAUUAACUUUCACCUGAAGAAUGGGAAUUCUUUGUUGUCAAAUGAAUGUGAGCUGUGAAGAACCUGCGAAGUGUACUAUAGCAGACCUGAAUGGCUGUCAGCUUUCCAGAGGGUUAUGCUGUUGGCUGGAAAUGUCUACUUGUUCAGUUCCUAGAGUUUUCCAGGCCUAAAGUCUCCUUGUCUGAAUUGUCAAACAUAUCAUUGUCGCCAGAGACAGCUGGCACAGGAAAUAAUGCCAUGUGAGAAUCAAAUGAUACAGCAUUUUUGCAAAACCUUUAGCAAAUCUGUAUUAAAGCCAGUCUUUUAUUUCUUAUUAAAUUAACAUCGUACUAUGCUGAAAUUUUAAUGCACUAGUUGAAGAGUUACAGCUAAAUGAUGUUAUGACUCAUUAUGGCAAUAUGCAGCAGCAUUGACCCAGACUUGUCUCCCAGUCCUCCAAAUCUUAUCCAUUCCACACUUGGUUUACCACAAAAAUGGCCUGCAUUGCUAUAAGCUUAAAACAAGAGGACACACUUUAACAUGGAUUCUGUGUUUCAAAUGUGCAAUAAUGGUUUAGUUAACAGGAAGCAGAUUCAAGCCUGCUCCAGACACACUGGCAAUUAGGCAUAUAUCAUCUCUCCCUUCUGCCAGAGCACAGAGUGAAAGGAAUAUCUUUUCUCUGGAGCGUGGAGAGAACUAAUUAUGAUCCUAGGGAGUAUUUAAAUGGAAAUACUAGAUUUUGAGUAAAUGAACUGUAAUAAUGAAAUUCAUUUCUGUGAUGCCCACUGCUGGGAAUCACUUCCUAACAGGAAAGUAUAAAGAAGUUUGAGUCCUCCUCUUGGGUGUGCAGAGCAGAAGGACAACAGGGAACAGACACAAACUGGAAAACAGGAAAUCCCAACUCAGUAUAAAGAGUUGUCAGACCCUGGAGCAGGCUGCACAAUCCCUGUCCUUGGAGAUAUUGAAAACCUGGUUGGACAAGGUGUUGACUACCUGCUCUAAAAACCUUCUUUGAGCAGGAGGAUGUUCUAGGUAAAUGCCUGAGGACCCUUCCAACCUGUGUGUUCUUCAAAUUGCAUCUGUGCAAGAGCAGUGUGUCCUGCAGCACUGGAGCAGUGGGAGGCUUGUUGCUGACACCAUUCAGUGAAAAAAGGGAGGAAGGGGAGGGUUUUUUUAAUUUUAAAAUAUUUUUAUUAAUGCGCUAAUUCUUCCUUCUGCCUCCUUUAGUGAGGUCCAAACUAGAUGUAAACAUAGAUUUUUAAUGUAUGUAGUCACAGAGACAAACAAACUAUGUCAAAUAUGGUUGGGAAGAAGAUCCAGCUAGAGCAAGAGACCAAUAAACUGCUGUGAAAGGACACAGGAACAUGGUGAGAAGGCAAGAAGUUGCAAGAAGUGCAAAUAGAAGAUACUGCCAUAGGUGGUAAAGACUCAGUGAUGCCUUUGCAUUUCCACAGUGUUUGCUACAGCACAGCACAAGAAACAAUGGCACAGUUGUGCGGUGCUUGCUGUUGACCACAGAACCACAGAGUAUCCUGAGUGGGAAGGGAUUCGCAAGGGUCAUGGAAUCCAUCUCCUGGCCCUGCACAAAACAGCCCCAGCAGUCACACCAUGUGCCCAAGAACAUUGCCCAAACACGUCUUGAACUCUGUCAGGUUGGUGCUGUGACCUCUUCCGGGGGCCUCUUCCAGUGCCCAACCACCCUCUGGGUGAGGAAACUUUUCCUGAUAUCCAUCCGAAACCUCCCCUGACACAACUUCAGGCCAUUCCCUCAGGUUCUGUCACCAGAGAGGAGAGUUCAGUGCCUGCCCCUCCUCUUCUCCCCACAAGGACACUGUAACUGCAAUGAGAUCUCUCUCCCCUCAGCCUCCUCAUCUCCAGACUGAACAGACCAAGUGACCUCAGCUGCUCCUCGUAUGGCUUCCCCUCGAGGCCCUUCAACUUUGGACAUUCAAAUGAUGCCAGCAGAUUGUCAGGAAAGUUUAGAUAGUGGACUAGACAAUGUGAUUCUUUAGAGCAAUAAGUAGUAUUUCAGUAAUUGCUUUCAGAGAGAGUUCUAAAAGAUGACUUGUGACUGCCCAUACAGAGUGUAUUUCUCAUGUUACUCUUAUUGGAAGGAGCCUCAGUUUGAGGCAUUGGUGUAGUACUUCUGUGGCUUGGCUGAUGACUGUCACUCAUUUCUUCAAUAGAUUUGGGUUAAUGUCAAGGGCUUGCUUCAAGCAAGCCUCCUUAAAACAAUGCUUCUGACAGCAACUGAACCACUUACAAAAAUGGGCAUUUUAAAAUUAUUAUAAUCCUAGUAAUGUAAAGAGAAGUGCUUUCUUCUUUUUUUUCUUCAGAUUCACAAGUGUAUAGAGAUGUCAUUUAUGUCCUAGACACAUUAAUUUCUGAUUUUUUCCUUUAACCCUCUUAAUUGGAAGAAAGUAUGUUGCUGCUGAUUUAUGAACUCUUCAGAAGUGCCAGGGAUCAUUUUAAAUGUACACAGCUGCUCUGCAGUAGUUUAACUUGGCAGAUAGUAUUAAACCAUUGAAUUGUGUCAUUUAUUUGUGUAUGCACACAAUAAGUUCCUUGUGCAGGUUCUUCAGAAAAAGUCUCAAUGCUGAUUCGAAAAUGUGGCCUAAAAAUAACCUAGCCCCAUGAUUUAUUGUUUUGGUGCUUGUCUCCAAACAGUACAUCUAAAAUGAAGAAUGAGAUACCGUGUGUACCCCAGAUAAGGCAAUGGAAUGGAAACCAUCCGUAAGAGGAGCUACGGACAGAGGUCUGAAAAGGAAAAGUUCCCAGGGUGAAUGAGCAAGAGACACGAUGGGAAUCAACUCCCGUUGUUGGCAUUUGGGAAUGCUGCAACUGAUUUCAUUGCUAGGCCAGGGAGUGUAUGACGCUGUGUAAUGAGAAAGAGCAGCGGUCGUGACAGCAGUAUCACUGGUUGUAAUGGAGUAUAAAUCAGGGCAGUUCACUCUGUCAUUCCAUUCAGGGCAUCAUAAAAGUAACACCUGUCAUCUGGAAAAAAUCUAAACUCAGAGAAUAAUAUAAUGCAUUUCGCAUGAAUGUAUAAAAUCCUGCAGUACCAGAAAAUAGAACACGUAGAAAUCGAGUCUUUAUACUAAGGGGUGACAUCUGCAAAUAUAUUCUACCAUCAAUACCAUGUGACUUGAUUUAUGUCUUAAACUAUUCUAUGGGGGGGAAAAAAAGUAGCAGUAUAGAUUCAACUAUAGCUCUAAAAAAUAACCUUUUAGGCCAUGAUACUAAUCUCUUUGAUCCACACCAUUUAAUGCAUUGGCAAGCAAAAGAACUUCCCUUAUUUCUCCUUUGGCUGUAAAAUGGACUGAAAACAGCCUUCAGGGAAUUGUAGAUUCAGUUACAUCCUCAGCAAGAGAACCUAAUGGGCAGUGUUUAAAGACUGAUUGAUAGACAUCAUCUCUUGAUGAUCAUAGCAGAACUUUUUAGGCUGUUGAUUGCAAGCACAGACAUUCAGGGAAGCAAAAUUUAUGCCUGCCAGGCUUUUUGCUGUGUUUUGUCUCCUCUUCUCUUUCCUGCACUCAAACCAGAUUUCAGCCGUCAGUCCUAGAAGUCAGUAACAAUGGCCAAAAAACCUGAGCCAAUGACUAUUAUCAGCCACACAAGUUUCAAAUAUUUUUCUCUGGUAAAUGGCCUAAAAGACAGAAAUUUAAAAUUAAGUAGAAGGCAAGUUUGUCCUAAAGCUCUAGAAAAUGGUGAAACUUUUGCACGUUGGAAGCUUUAGAAACUAUAGGAACUUUGAAGGGUGGAUGCAGAAUUAUUUAUUCAUGAUGAGUCAGUUCUGUCAUUCUCUACUGUCACAAAAUUUCCAUGUGCUCUGGGUAUGUACAAUUAUGGAAUAUUUCAGGUAAUGAAAUUUCUGUUGUCUUGUUAUGAAGAAGCAUAGAUGCAUUUUUAAAUCAAGGAUCAAUGCUAUCAAUGUCUGAUGAGAUUGAAAUAUCAGCCAGAUUUCCCUUUUUAUUCCUUGCCCUCUGAGACAGCAGCUUGGUGUUACCUGUGAAGCAGUUGUGGAACCACUCAGCUGCCUUAUCCAAGGUGUCAGUGUACAGGAGCUCAGACCCUGCAGAACUGGAGCACCCUGAGCCUUCUGCUCUCAAGAAACUGGGCUACUGUGCUACCACUAAGAGUGAUCAAGCAGAAAGUGCUGUUGGAGAUCUGAGUGAAGAACCUGAACACUGCUGGCUUCUUUUCUUACACAGCCCCAGGCCUCAGUGCAAAUAAAUUAAGGGCCAUAUGCUAACAUUGGAUCUCUCCACUGUGGCAACUGAGUUGCAUAUUUAUGAACACAACAUCUCUCCAGAACACUGGAGAGAUCACUCAGGCCAUCUAAUUCAUACAGGACUUCCUGGUUCCAUUCGUCAUUCCCACUGAUGAGGUACUAACCACAAAUCAGGUCUAUGGUGUUUUUCUGGCUGCUACUUCUCCAUUGCAGUGAGAGUUUGGGGAGCACACAUUGUGCUUUUGGAGAAGAGAAGAGGUUUUUUUCUUAAGGCAA